GACGAACGCUGGCGGCGUGCCUAAUACAUGCAAGUCGAACGCUGAAGGAGGAGCUUGCUUCUCUGGAUGAGUUGCGAACGGGUGAGUAACGCGUAGGUAACCUGCCUGGUAGCGGGGGAUAACUAUUGGAAACGAUAGCUAAUACCGCAUAAGAGUAGAUGUUGCAUGACAUUUGCUUAAAAGGUGCAAUUGCAUCACUACCAGAUGGACCUGCGUUGUAUUAGCUAGUUGGUGGGGUAACGGCUUACCAAGGCGACGGUACAUAGCCGACCUGAGAGGGUGAUCGGCCACACUGGGACUGAGACACGGCCCAGACUCCUACGGGAGGCAGCAGUAGGGAAUCUUCGGCAAUGGACGGAAGUCUGACCGAGCAACGCCGCGUGAGUGAAGAAGGUUUUCGGAUCGUAAAGCUCUGUUGUAAGAGAAGAACGAGUGUGAGAGUGGAAAGUUCACACUGUGACGGUAUCUUACCAGAAAGGGACGGCUAACUACGUG
RNAcentral lists this ribosomal RNA (495 nucleotides) under uncultured bacterium. RNAcentral's name for it is "partial 16S ribosomal RNA". It matches the Rfam family "Bacterial small subunit ribosomal RNA", at positions 28 to 507 of the family's 1533-position model. The record is from RNAcentral.